GCUUUCAUAGCUCAGUUAGUUAGAGCAUCCAUUUAGUAAGCAGGAGGUCAUGAGUUCAACUCUCAUUGAAAGCA
Non-coding RNA from Picea glauca (white spruce), 74 nucleotides. The record is from Rfam. NCBI's taxonomy places the organism in Eukaryota, Viridiplantae, Streptophyta, Pinopsida, Pinales, Pinaceae.